This 873-nucleotide ribosomal RNA is filed under the name Triticum aestivum (bread wheat). RNAcentral describes it as "partial small subunit ribosomal RNA". The record is from RNAcentral. Lineage: Eukaryota; Viridiplantae; Streptophyta; Magnoliopsida; Poales; Poaceae.
AUGUGCUUUUUGUCCAAUCGGAUGAUCUUGUCCACGGGGCCUUGCAUGCUAAGGGAUAUCUUUCUGUUGGAGAAUCAGCUCCCUUGGUUAGUCAUCGAGGCUCUUUCGGACUUUUUGACAACACCUCCGGUGUACAAGUUUGUUCAUAAGAUAGCGAAAUAUUUGUAUAUCAUCCCCCCUUCAUCUUUAUAUUCAAACACAAGGGCUCGUGUGGAUGAACUCAGGAAGUACAGGCCACCACAUCUCCUUGGGCUCCUCCGAUACUCUCAGAUUGGCAAUAUGACUAGCGAAGAUCACAAUCAUAUACAUCCCUUAUCAUUGGCUAGUACUAGUGCCAUUGAGCUCGCGGAAAUCGGAAUCAAGCUGACCGCCAGCAAGAAAAAAGGGUUGGCAAACAUGAGCAUCCAGACAGACUACUGCCUCUUCGGUGGCCAGCUCUCCCUGACGCCAUUGUUCAUAAAUGACUUCACUGCUUGCUGGCUAGUCAACAUGGCAGCCUACGAGGCGUGUGUGUCCACCAGAUACCCAUCAGACGGCUUCGUCGUCAGCUCCUACAUCUCCCUCUUGGCAAUGCUCAUGGACAGGGAAGAGGACGUGCACCAGCUGCGAGCUAAGCACCUCGUUCGCAGCUUACUUGGUAACCAUGAGUUGCUCGUUUUCUUCAAGGGCCUCGCAUGCCACCUGCGCCUCGGGCGGCGCUACUUUACCAUCACAGGAAAGAUUGACAGGUUCAAGCGUCGAAGGCCUGUGAGUAUCGCUGUGCAUAGGUUCGUAUACAAAAACUUCAAGACAAUCGUUGCUGUGCUCUCUAUUACUGGUGUGCUUGCAGGAAUCUUCAGAACCUUGAUGAGUCUCAAGCAGCAUCAGCCUUAG